RNAcentral lists this ribosomal RNA (326 nucleotides) under uncultured bacterium. Its description in RNAcentral is "bacterial SSU rRNA". It matches the Rfam family "Bacterial small subunit ribosomal RNA", at positions 28 to 334 of the family's 1533-position model. The record is from RNAcentral.
GAUGAACGCUGGCGGCGUGCUUAACACAUGCAAGUCGAACGAAGCACCUUGAUUUGAUUCUUCGGAUGAAGAUCUUGGUGACUGAGUGGCGGACGGGUGAGUAACGCGUGGGUAACCUGCCUCAUACAGGGGGAUAACAGUUGGAAACGACUGCUAAUACCGCAUAAGCCCACAGCUCGGCAUCGAGCAGAGGGAAAAGGAGUGAUCCGCUUUGAGAUGGCCUCGCGUCCGAUUAGCUAGUUGGUAAGGUAACGGCUUACCAAGGCGACGAUGCAUAGCCGAGUUGAGAGACUGAUCGGCCACAUUGGGACUGAGACACGGCCCAA